This 404-nucleotide transfer-messenger RNA is filed under the name Bacteroides sp. It matches the Rfam family "transfer-messenger RNA". Rfam says of the family: Bacterial tmRNA, also known as 10Sa RNA or SsrA, is named for its dual tRNA and mRNA-like properties. Its role is to liberate the mRNA from a stalled ribosome. Lineage: Bacteria; Pseudomonadati; Bacteroidota; Bacteroidia; Bacteroidales; Bacteroidaceae. RNAcentral also lists the same sequence under 2 other names. The record is from RNAcentral.
GGGGCUGACUGGCUUUGACAGCGUGUAGAAGCGAUAAGUAAGCAUGCAGAGCUUUGAUGUUCAAGCUCUAUAAUCGCAAGAGCAUCGAACUAUAAUUGGCGAAAAUAACAAUUACGCUCUCGCUGCGUGAUCUGAAGAACAGUAGGAUCCCUUUAUCUCUUUCAAAGUGAAAGAGACGAGACAUCACUCCAUUGCCCCGUUCCGAGACGUUUGGACAAAGUGGUGCUAAGAAAUUCGGAAAUAGGAGUAGGGGAGUUCCGACUCUGCUCUGAAAAUAAGGAAAUAAGGUUAUGGUUGGCCGUCGUGAGCCUGCCACAACUCGAAAACCAAUUCACAGACUAAGCAUGUAGAAAGCCUAUUGGUUCCGCGUUUGGACGAGGGUUCAAUCCCCUCCAGCUCCACUU